UGCAGUAGAACGCUGAAGAGAGGAGCUUGCUCUUCUUGGAUGAGUUGCGAACGGGUGAGUAACGCGUAGGUAACCUGCCUUGUAGCGGGGGAUAACUAUUGGAAACGAUAGCUAAUACCGCAUAACAAUGGAUGACACAUGUCAUUUAUUUGAAAGGGGCAAUUGCUCCACUACAAGAUGGACCUGCGUUGUAUUAGCUAGUAGGUGAGGUAACGGCUCACCUAGGCGACGAUACAUAGCCGACCUGAGAGGGUGAUCGGCCACACUGGGACUGAGACACGGCCCAGACUCCUACGGGAGGCAGCAGUAGGGAAUCUUCGGCAAUGGGGGCAACCCUGACCGAGCAACGCCGCGUGAGUGAAGAAGGUUUUCGGAUCGUAAAGCUCUGUUGUAAGUCAAGAACGAGUGUGAGAGUGGAAAGUUCACACUGUGACGGUAGCUUACCAGAAAGGGACGGCUAACUACGUGCCAGCAGCCGCGGUAAUACGUAGGUCCCGAGCGUUGUCCGGAUUUAUUGGGCGUAAAGCGAGCGCAGGCGGUUUGAUAAGUCUGAAGUUAAAGGCUGUGGCUCAACCAUAGUUCGCUUUGGAAACUGUCAAACUUGAGUGCAGAAGGGGAGAGUGGAAUUCCAUGUGUAGCGGUGAAAUGCGUAGAUAUAUGGAGGAACACCGGUGGCGAAAGCGGCUCUCUGGUCUGUAACUGACGCUGAGGCUCGAAAGCGUGGGGAGCGAACAGGAUUAGAUACCCUGGUAGUCCACGCCGUAAACGAUGAGUGCUAGGUGUUGGAUCCUUUCCGGGAUUCAGUGCCGCAGCUAACGCAUUAAGCACUCCGCCUGGGGAGUACGACCGCAAGGUUGAAACUCAAAGGAAUUGACGGGGGCCCGCACAAGCGGUGGAGCAUGUGGUUUAAUUCGAAGCAACGCGAAGAACCUUACCAGGUCUUGACAUCCCGAUGCUAUUUCUAGAGAUAGAAAGUUACUUCGGUACAUCGGUGACAGGUGGUGCAUGGUUGUCGUCAGCUCGUGUCGUGAGAUGUUGGGUUAAGUCCCGCAACGAGCGCAACCCCUAUUGUUAGUUGCCAUCAUUCAGUUGGGCACUCUAGCGAGACUGCCGGUAAUAAACCGGAGGAAGGUGGGGAUGACGUCAAAUCAUCAUGCCCCUUAUGACCUGGGCUACACACGUGCUACAAUGGUUGGUACAACGAGUUGCGAGUCGGUGACGGCAAGCUAAUCUCUUAAAGCCAAUCUCAGUUCGGAUUGUAGGCUGCAACUCGCCUACAUGAAGUCGGAAUCGCUAGUAAUCGCGGAUCAGCACGCCGCGGUGAAUACGUUCCCGGGCCUUGUACACACCGCCCGUCACACCACGAGAGUUUGUAACACCCGAAGUCGGUGAGGUAACCUUUGGAGCCAGC
Molecule: ribosomal RNA, 1411 nt
Filed under: Streptococcus salivarius
Lineage: Bacteria; Bacillati; Bacillota; Bacilli; Lactobacillales; Streptococcaceae
Description: bacterial SSU rRNA
Rfam family: Bacterial small subunit ribosomal RNA
Source: RNAcentral